ACCUCCCCCCUUGCAGUUAAGGGUGUUGGGCCAUUAAUUGAAAGUUUGCUGGUUCAAAAAUCAGUGCCAGCAAGCUGGAAAAAUCUGCCGUUCUGUCCUUGAGCAAGGCCGUUAGCCCCCAACAACAACUGCUCCCUGGGCCCCAAAGACGUGGAUGUCCAUUAAGGCAGCCCCCCCACACUUCUAUGAUUCAGAGGGGUUGGGUUAAAUGCAGGAGGACACAUUUCUGUUGAAUGCAUUCAGUUGUGCAACUGACUAUGUACCCCCUUUCUCUUUUGCAGCGGAGGAGAUAAACCAGGAAACGCUCUUGCUUUUGGACGACUCAACUAUAGCCUGAAGUUAAAGAAGAACAUAAAAGCCUUACACGCAGUGAGUAUUCUGUAAACGGCACCUUUACGCACACAUGAUUACAUAGGACUGUGGACACACCAAGCGACACUCAAACCUUGAGCAGUAGCCAGGUCUUGCCGGGUACAUGUUGAAAGAUUUGUGUAUUUUGAAAACUGAAUGUUAAAAGGUGUAGCGGUUUUCUUCCUGGAAAGGAGAGGAGGACCAAAAUGCAGCGUGGUUAUUUAUAAACAUCUUUAAUGAAAGAUGAAAACGUGAACACUAUACAAAAUAAGAAACCGUGGAAAAAACCAAAACAGUCCUAACUGGUGCAAGAGACAGGAACAAUCACCCACCAGAUACCUAAAGAAUAUGGCUGCCUAAAUAUGGUUCCCAAUCAGAGACAACGAUAAACACCUGCCUCUGAUUGAGAACCACCCCAGGCAACCAUAGACUUACCUAGAACACUCAACUGAACACAACCCCAUAGACUACAAAAACCCCUAGACAAAACAAGACACAUAAAUCACCCAUGUCACACCCUGGCCUAACCAACAUAAUAAAGAAAACACAGAAUACUAAAGCCAGGGCGUGAUAAAAGGAAUGUAUGAUUAUUUGAAUAGCUUGUGGUCACAACAGAUGCAAAUGUGAGAGGGCAGCCCAGAUGACCAAGUGGCUGAACAACAACAUAUGGCUGGCAAACUAAUUUGUGGAGUACAUGAAGUAAACCAGACAGAAUGGGGCCAAGACAGUAGAGAUAGUCCGAGAGUAUCCACAUCUGCUGGAUACUCCAGGCAUGAAGCGGGCGGCGCUCAGGGGCUGUAUGUGUUUGAUUGAGAAAGUCACAAAGGAGAGACAACCAGAAAAAGCACAGCUCCCUUCAUUAUUGACGCAUUGUACUGACAUCAAAGAGCCAUUCCAGAUUGCGGUAAGGAGGACUUUUAGAGUUAUGUGUUAGCCAGACUAAUGAUUAACGGCAAUAGAAAAGUCAUUGUUUGACUGCCUUACUACAGAUUGCUCAGGACUUCUCUAUUUUAAAAACUCGGACUAAUCGGGGAAACUCAAUGAGAACUGGAUUUUGGUUUUCAAUGACUAAUCGGGGGAUUUUAGUGAUGUUCUAUAUAUAUAUGCAGGCCUCAUCCACUACCCUGAGAGCACUUGAUUCAGUCUAUCAUGUAGCCCUCAGGUUCAUUACAAAUCAAAAACGUCUAACACAUCAUUGUGAUCUCUACAGAGCUGCUGGCUGGUCAUCAUUGUCUCUGUUCUUUUUUUGUCAGGUCUGUAAAUAAAUAUAAAUUACAUUCCCAUUCUCAUUUGCUUCUACCAGUACCAAAACUCAGAACAGGUCAUGGUAGAAAUAGUUUUAGCUCCGUGGUCCUGAAAUUCUCUCCUGAACAUUUAAAAAUGUGAUUAUCUAGUUUCAUUGGUGGAGUUGAAACACUUGAUUGAUGUAUAUGUCAUAGAAGAGUGUACUUGUCUUUAGGAAAGCUGAUUUUAGUCAAGACUUUUGUGUUUUUAACGUAAUAUGUAAUUGUUGUACUGUAUGUGUGUUUAUAGUUUUGUUUAAUGUUGUGGUAGUGUAUGUAAGUUGUUUGUCUGAAAUGUUGUUCCCCCUGCUGCUAUUGGACCAGGUAUCUCUUGGAAAAGAUAUGUUAUCUCAAUGAGAACAACCUAUAUAAAUAAAGGUAAAAUAAAUAAAAUGACGAAAAAUGUAGCCUUGCCAGCCGAGAGAAGCAAGCCGAAGAUCUUCCUCUUUCGAAGUGCAGAUUCACAAGUUGACAUCGCUUUAAGACUUCUGCCAGCUAUCCUCCCAACACCAGUCUCCAAGAUUCCCUGUACUCCCUGUUCACCCACGACUGCGUGGCCACGCACGCCUCCAACUCAAUCAUCAACUUUACAGACGACCCGACAGUGGUAGGCUUGAUUACCAACAACGACGAGACGGCCUACAGGGAGGAGGUGAGGGCCCUCGGAGUGUGGUGUCAGGAAAAUAACCUCACACUCAACGUCAACAAAACUAAGGAGAUGAUUGUGGACUUCAGGAAACAGCAGAGGGAACACCCCCCUAUCCACAUCGAUGGAACAGUAGUGGAGAGGGUCGCAAGUUUUAAGUUCCUCGGCAUACACAUCACAGACAAACUGAAUUGGUCCACCCACACGGACAGCAUCGUGAAGAAGGCGCAGCAGCGCCUCUUCAACCUCAGGAGGCUGAAGAAAUUCGGCUUGUCACCAAAAGCACUCACAAACUUCUACAGAUGCACAAUCGAGAGCAUCCUGGCAGGCUGUAUCACCGCCUGGUACGGCAACUGCUCCGCCCACAACCGUAAGGCUCUCCAGAGGGUAGUGAGGUCUGCACAACGCAUCACCGGGGGAAAACUACCUGCCCUCCAGGACACCUACACCACCUGAUGUCACAGGAAGGCCAUAAAGAUCAUCAAGGACAACAACCACCCGAGCCACUGCCUGUUCACCCCGCUAUCAUCCAGAAGGCGAGGUCAGUACAGGUACAUCAAAGCUGGGACCGAGAGACUGAAAAACAGCUUCUAUCUCAAGGCCAUCGGACUGUUAAACAGCCACCACUAACAUUGAGUGGCUGCUGCCAACACACUGACUCAACUCCAGCCACUUUAAUAAUGGGAAUUGAUGGGAAAUGAUGUAAAAUAUAUCACUAGCCACUUUAAACAAUGCUACCUAAUAUAAUGUUUACAUACCCUACAUUAUUCAUCUCAUAUGUACACAUAUAUACUGUACUCUAUAUCAUCUACUGCAUCUUUAUGUAAUACAUGUAUCACUAGCCACUUUAACUAUGCCACUUUGUUUACAUACUCAUCUCAUAUGUAUAUACUGUACUCGAUACCAUCUACUGUAUCUUGCCUAUGCCGCUCUGUACCAUCACUCAUUCAUAUAUCUUUAUGUACAUAUUCUUUAUCCCCUUACACUUGUGUGUAUAAGACAGUAGUUUUGGAAUUGUUAGUUAGAUUACUUGUUGGUUAUUACUGCAUUGUCGGAACUAGAAGCACAAGCAUUUCGCUACACUCGCACUAACAUCUGCUAACCAUGUGUAUGUGACAAAUAAAAUUUGAUUAGAUUUGAAGAUUGUCAGGCAGACAUUCUGACCUACCUUCAAAGAGACCAGAAGGUCCUUCAUAUACUUGCAGCCUGUAAGUUUAAAUUGUGGACAGGCAUAGGGAGAUUGAUGGGGAAAUUAGAUGACAGCAUUUGUAAACCUUUAAUGAAAGGAACGGCAUUCCAAAAGCUAUUUUGCAUAACUAAACAAUCCAAUACAUUUUAAAUUAAUGUUUCUGAAGAUGUAGGCAUCAACCAGGGAUUGGGUAUUGAUUAAUGUAAAUGGCUAUAUAGUAUACACAAUAAAUUGUGUGUGAUGCCAUUGCCAUUGUGUCCUCAUAUUCAAAAAACAAAUGAUUUCUAUCUAACAGGUUAGGACCAACAUGGUUGAGGACCUGUUCCAGGCCUGAGGUGACCAGACCCUAACCAUUUAUGUUGGCUAUUGGGGACUGCUCACAGGGGUUUACAGUCAUUAGUGGACAUGCAUUGAAGCAAGGUGCAUUGCUUGGGGUGCUGGAUGCGUGCUUCAUGUCCUAUUAGGUGUUUGAUAUCAACUUUCCUACAAACCACAGUGUAUCAGCUGCCAGGAACAGAAUCCCCCGCAGCAAGACUGUUGCAAGCAUGUCUUUUUUCCACUGAACAAUAGUGGAUCCGUAUCAGCUCUUGUGUGUAGUGUGAGAAGUGACGGGAGGAAGCCCAGUCCUCCUCCGGCUAAUGUGUUUGUACUCCUGUGAAUUAAUAGAUCAAUGAGCCAUGAGUUUCAGAGGGGUUGGGUUAAAUGCGUAAGACACAUUUUGGUUGAAUAUAUUCAGUUGUGCAACAGACUAGGUAUCGACUUUCCCCUUCAUAUUACAAUGCUAAUAUGCUCUGAAAGCAGUAUUUAUAGCUCUGUUUUAAUGCAUUUGUGGCUGCUUUUUGCCUACUGUAAAGUAUGUGCUUGUUUGCUUUAAGUUCAAGUAUUGCUGCAUAUCUUACUUUAUUAUUAUCUAAAUAUUUCAUAGUUUUGAUGUCUUCACCAUUAUUCUACAAUGUAGAAAAUUGUAAAAAUAAAGAAAAACC
Oncorhynchus tshawytscha (Chinook salmon) is the source of this 4452-nucleotide long non-coding RNA. The record is from Ensembl. NCBI's taxonomy places the organism in Eukaryota, Metazoa, Chordata, Actinopteri, Salmoniformes, Salmonidae.